GACGAACGCUGGCGGCGUGCUUAACACAUGCAAGUCGAGCGGUAAGGCCUUUCGGGGUACACGAGCGGCGAACGGGUGAGUAACACGUGGGUGAUCUACCCUGCACUCUGGGAUAAGCCUGGGAAACUGGGUCUAAUACUGGAUAUGACCUCAGCAUGCAUGUGCUGGGGUGGAAAGCUUUUGUGGUGCAGGAUGGGCCCGCGGCCUAUCAGCUUGUUGGUGGGGUAAUGGCCUACCAAGGCGACGACGGGUAGCCGACCUGAGAGGGUGACCGGCCACACUGGGACUGAGACACGGCCCAGACUCCUACGGGAGGCAGCAGUGGGGAAUAUUGCACAAUGGGCGGAAGCCUGAUGCAGCGACGCCGCGUGAGGGAUGAAGGCCUUCGGGUUGUAAACCUCUUUCAGCAGGGACGAAGCGUGAGUGACGGUACCUGCAGAAGAAGCACCGGCUAACUACGUGCCAGCCGCCGCGGUAA
Molecule: ribosomal RNA, 478 nt
Filed under: uncultured bacterium
Lineage: Bacteria
Description: partial 16S ribosomal RNA
Rfam family: Bacterial small subunit ribosomal RNA
Source: RNAcentral